Non-coding RNA from Schistosoma mattheei, 46 nucleotides. The record is from Rfam. Lineage: Eukaryota; Metazoa; Platyhelminthes; Trematoda; Strigeidida; Schistosomatidae.
GUACUGCUGAGGAGUCCCACAAUAGGACGAAAUGGCCAUCCAGUUC